Lytechinus pictus (painted urchin) is the source of this 228-nucleotide long non-coding RNA. RefSeq lists it as uncharacterized. The transcript has 3 exons. Lineage: Eukaryota; Metazoa; Echinodermata; Echinoidea; Temnopleuroida; Toxopneustidae. The record is from RefSeq and is a predicted model, not a curated record.
UGCAGGAACAUGGAGUCGAUUGAAAAGUACCAAAAUUAAAAGCCCAUCAGAGCCUAUCAUGGUUGAAUCAGAGAAUAAGGAUAUGAUCAUCUGCUAUCAUCCUGCAGAAAGCUUUCCAUAUGAACAUACCAAGCCUAUACCAAGACCAGAUCCAUCAAGACCUGAGGUGAGUGUUGUGUCUUCUUUUCUUCCCCUUUUCAUGUUUUAUUAGUACUGCGUUUUUAUUUC